Haplochromis burtoni (Burton's mouthbrooder) is the source of this 3408-nucleotide long non-coding RNA. RefSeq annotates it as von Willebrand factor A domain-containing protein 5A. The record is from RefSeq and is a predicted model, not a curated record. The transcript has 5 exons. NCBI's taxonomy places the organism in Eukaryota, Metazoa, Chordata, Actinopteri, Cichliformes, Cichlidae.
CGAAACGUUUCUCCCACAAAACGCUACGUCCAGAUGAACAGAAUCAACUUUUUGGAGAAUGUUUAGUUCAGUUACUUUGAUAUUGAGAUCCAGUUUUCCCCUGUUGAAUAAUCUUUUAGUCUUAUAUUCCAAUAAAUCAGAUUAAAUUAAUCUGAUUAUGUGUAUUUAUGUAUGUAUUUAUUGGCCAUACAUUUUCCCAGUAAAACAUGUGAAACACAUAUUUUACAGCGUAUCAAGCUUUCAUUUCAUCAGCUUGAUUGCCUUCAGAUAGUAUUCAUUAAAACCACUUUAACUGAUGCUGGGGUGUUACCAGUUUUAUUUUUCUUUAAUAAGUUAGACUCCAAACCUAUAUUUGCUCCAAUGGCCAUGAGUAUUAAAUCAGAAAUGAAAAGGUUAUGAUUUUUUUCUUGGAAUAUGACUGUUUUUGAGAAAUCCAUGCAUUCAGAUACUAUUGCUGAGUAAUUCUCUGUAAUGAACUCAAAAAUGUUUUUUUGUGUGUGUUUCAGAUGGAUUCCCGAUGAUGGAAGAAGAAAACCAGUCAAGAAAAUGUAAGUAAAAAAACAAAAUGAGAGCAUGUAUUUAGCUUUAAUUAACAGGAGUGUUUUUUCAAAAGGUUAACUGAUGGAAAUUCUUAUUUUCUUAUUGUCUGUAACACCAUCAGUUAUAAUUUGCUGUGUUAGAAUAAAAUAAGAAAAAAUAAGCAUGCAUUGUCUUGGUAGAUAUGAAGGAAGUUUAAGGCUUAGUGGAAGAGACUGUAUAACAAUGUUUAGUUCAGUUGCUUUGAUAUUGAGAUCCAGUUUUCUCCUGUUGAAUAAUCUUUAAGUCUUAUAUUCCAAUAAAUCAGAUUAAAAUAAUUUAAUAUAUAAAACCAUAUAUUUUCUCUGUAAAACAUGUGAAACACAUACUUUACAUCAUAUUAAGCUUUCAUUUCAUCAGCUUGAUUGCCUUCAGAUGGUAUUCAUUAAAACCACAGUAAGUGAUGGUGUGGUGCUGCCAGUUUUAGUUUUCUUUAAUAAGUUCGAACUGUUGUAAACAUUUGAUUUUGUUGUGGAGCUCUUAUAUAAUUAUUACAGUUUUAAGAUGUAAUUUAUGUUUGCUUACUUAUUACUUUAGCUGGAGUUGAACUGUAGCAAAAGUCAAAUGUAAAAAGAAUGCCAACUGAAAAGCUGUGUUAGGUCUAAUAAAGACGUGUCAAUAGUUUAAUUGACUUUACAUUUCAGGGAGGUAUGAAUGGCAAAGAACUGAAGAAAUGACAAAAGAUAUGUUUUUAAAUACUACCAGUUUUGUAUUUGUAAAUCACAAUUUCAAAGUCAGUACUUUAGUUGUUCUUUUUAUAAACAUAUGAUGCAAUUUCAUCCCUCUUUUAUUUUCCUCGAUAUAUAACACUCUCAUUUUCUUUUGAAUGUUGCUGUUCUUGUUAUCUUUGUAUUAAUUGUAAUCAUUUUUUAUUUUGAAAUCAUAGCAUAUACCUGACCUUCUCCAUACAUGGGGAGCUACCUGCUGUGAUCACUGUUUGUGAAUAAAGGGGCAGCUGAAAGUAGCUUUUAGAUCAUUUGGUAUUAUUUCAUUUUCAUUGUUAAAUCAUGAAGUGACAUCACAUUUUUACAUGAAAAAUUAUAUCAAUUUAGACAUACACACAUAUUUGUAACUAUAAAUGCAAGAAAAGUAUAUCCAUAUAAUUGUCAUUAUAAUCUCAAACAACUCCAGGAUCCAAAUUUUGGUUACAUUUUAAAAGUUGAAGCCACAUUAGGUUUACAAUCAUAUAAUGGCCAUGAGUAAGUUAAUAUGACUAUUUUUGACAAAUCUGUGCAUUUAGAUACUAUAUCUUAAGGAAUUAUCUGUAAUUACCUCAAACUUUUUUAUGGUUUAACAAUUUCAGAUGCAGACCCAAGAACAAUGAUGGCAGCAAAAGCACGAAGGAAAUGUAACAACUUGAGAUCAUAUGGUAUUCAUUAAGACCACGGUAGCUGAUGAUGUGGUGUUGACAGUCUUUAUCUUUAUUAAUUUUCCAGCUGCUGUGCCUGAGCAGCCACCCAGAGACCCUUUGCUGCAGUUAGUCUCCCUGCAGGAGGCGUCUGGCUGCUGGCUGCUUGAUCCAGCUCUGGCUGCUGCACUGGGACAGACCAACGAGGAGGUGGAAAAGUCAAAGCCUGAAAAGACCAGCGGUGAAGUGUGGGCCACCAUUCUGGCUCUGAUCUGGCUUCAUGGUUUCAAGAUGGAUGCAAAGGACGAGUGGGAGCUUCUGGCUAUGAAGGCUGCCUCGUGGCUCUGUGCUCACAAUGCACCGUGUGUGUCAGAGUGUGUGGAUGCUGGAAAUGUCCUGCUGGGUUGCAGCGUGAAGAAAGAAGCUCUGGGACUCUGAGGGUUUUCUUAAAGUAGCUUCAUCUUCAGAGUGAACAGAAGCAGGUCUGCUUACUCCACACUGCCUUUGAUACAGAGCUGUUUUAUAUCAUCAACCCCUUUUACAUGUUUAUUUGUCAUGAAUUAUGUACCUAAUAUUGGUUUUACCAUUGUGGAAAAAAGUAUGUCAAAAUUGUCUGAAUACUCCUGACACAGUAGAAGAUUGGACCACUGCUGUGGCAGCUCAUUCACAAAGUGUUUUAAUUCCUUUUCUCUGCCACUAGAUGGCGAUUAUGUUCAUACUUUUACUGAUUUCACACAGAAACACCAAAACCAAUCUAAGAAGUCUUUUCCCUUCCUGUUAUAGUUCUGAAAAUGGCUUCAGUUCAGGACAUUUUCAAGAUGGUCCUCAGUGAAUUGGAGUGAAUAGAGCAAAACUUUUAAAAUAACUAUUUACAGUGUUUACACCAUCUUCUAAACAAAAAAGUCUAUCCUAGCUUUUAUUUUUUAAAAAGUAAUAUUUUUAUGGCCAAAUUGAAAUGAAACUAUACAGAACGUCAUUCUGUUUCUCUCGCAGGAGUUACAAUUUUAUCCAUGAAACACUUUCAUUCUGCUAAUUGACACCGAUUGAUCCUUGAACGUCUUAAGACAGCAUAUAGUCUUCAUUCAUGUUUGCUUACUCAUGUAGUUUGAGUUGAAUCUGAAUUUCCCAAAACUUCCCAAUGACUUUCCAAAUAAUACUUAGCAUAAAAAAUUUGAAAAUUUAUGUUUGGUCUCUCAUUUCUUUGUUUGUGAUUCAGCUAAUAACACAAGGAUUUCAUAAUUUUUGAAGCCACACUGAAAAUACUCAGCAAUCUGUGCAUUCAUGAGUCGAUGUAAUACCGGUAGCUUAGCUGUAGCAUUUGUAAGGCUUCAGCUUCAGGUUACAAGGAAAUGACAUCAUUCACGUAGAUUACUGAUUAGCAGUGCUAACUCGAAAUUUCUAGUUACUUUUCUCAAAAUUUUGAGUUAAUAAGUCAAAGUUUCGAUAAAAUAAGUCGAAAUUUUGAGUUAUAGAUGCUUUUUUUU